RNAcentral lists this ribosomal RNA (483 nucleotides) under Paraliobacillus ryukyuensis. Its description in RNAcentral is "bacterial SSU rRNA". It matches the Rfam family "Bacterial small subunit ribosomal RNA", at positions 1001 to 1480 of the family's 1533-position model. Lineage: Bacteria; Bacillati; Bacillota; Bacilli; Caryophanales; Bacillaceae. The record is from RNAcentral.
UAGAGAUCCCUNCUUCCCUUCGNGGAACAGAGUGACAGGUCCCGCAUGGUUGUCGUCAGCUCGUGUCGUGAGAUGUUGGGUUAAGUCCCGUAACGNGCGCAACCCUUGAUCUUAGUUGCCAGCAUUUAGUUGGGCACUCUAAGGUGACUGCCGGUGACAAACCGGAGGAAGGUGGGGAUGACGUCAAAUCAUCAUGCCCCUUAUGACCUGGGCUACACACGUGCUACAAUGGAUGGAACAAAGGGCAGCGAAGCGGCAACGUGUUAGCAAAUCCCAUAAAACCAUUCUCAGUUCGGAUUGUNUGCUGCAACUCGCCUACAUGAAGCAGGAAUCGCUAGUAAUCGCGGAUCAGCAUGCCGCGGUGAAUACGUUCCCGGGUCUUGUACACACCGCCCGUCACACCACGAGAGUUGGCAACACCCGAAGUCGGUGAGGUAACACUUUUGUGAGCCANCCCGCCNAAAGUGGGGCCAAUGAUUGGGG